AUAUACAGCAUGGAACAGGGCUCCACAAGGACAUGAAUACCAGGUGGCAGGGAUCACUGGGCCAUCUCUCUAAAUCACGAAUGAAACAUUUGCAACCUGUGUCUCCCAAACAUGAUAUGUCUCAAUCAUCAAAGGAUCUACAGUGACUACAAUAACCAAGUGCUACAAAAACGCUGUGACGAGGAAUCUGAACAACAGAGAUUUGAGGGAAACAAAACACUUUCGACGAAGGUCCUGCUGCUUGUCUUCAGCUUGGUACCAAUUAGAGCUUCACUGGAGGUGAAAAGGGCAGACACGGUUGCUGAGUGGCUGGUUGGAGAGUCCCUGAGAGAUUACCCAAGAAACUCAGUUGCGGCACGUGGUGGAGCAGCCUCUCAGAUAUUUCUCCAUCCCUCUACUUUGAGCCUAUGGAUGUUGUUACAUUUAAGGAAAAAUCAGUGUUCUUGAGGCUUGCUUUGCAAAAGUUCAUUGCUUUAACAUGCACCCACUUCAGAGAUGUGAAGACGUCAGAGAUGCUGGUUGCAAGUAAAGACGGUUUGUUGUAUAAAGAAAAUACUUCAUGUCUUGCUGUCUGAAGCUCCAGAGGGCUCUGCUUUAUGUGUUUUCCAACAAAGAUGACAUUUAGAAGAACAAAGAAUAUUAAGGCAGAAGACCUGGUUUUUUUUCUUGGAUGCAACAACUACUUUAAAUGGUCUCCCUGACUCUAAUCUUCCCCGAACAGUCUCUUUACCUCCUAUAUUUAGAAAGAUCUUUUUAAAAAGGAAAUUUUCUAUCUUUAAUUAUCUGUUUAACUAAACAGAUUUUUUUUUUUACUGUCUUUAACAUUAAGUCCAAAUUCCUCAUCAUAAUUUACAAAACUACUUAAGAUUCUUGUUCUAUUACUGCUUCCUGUUCACUCCUUCCUUUUGCAGUCUUUGCUAAAGCAUACUGAAUUGAUAUCAACUCCUUAAACAAGUCAUAUUGUUUUGCAACUCUGGGGCCACCUUUAUAGCUCUCCCUUGUCCUUGAGUAUUCUAACCCCAUCCCUUCAUCUGUAUAAAUCCCACUCUUCAUUUAGAUUUUGGCUUCAGGUUACUAUUUUAAAGAGCUUUGCUUGGCUCCUAGAAAUACAGCACCAUGUAUUUCUUCUAUCAUAACAUGUCCCUUUCUUUUCUGGUAUAUUUCCUGGUAUAUUGUAAGCUCUGUGAGAUUGGGGCCUGUAGGUGCCUCCAACAUGUAGCACAGUACCUGGCACACUGAAUGAGAAAAUGCUUUGUAUGGAGUUUAUAUCUCAGUUAUGAAAUGUAUUAGCUACAUGACCAUGGGCAAAUUAUUUGACCUUUUAAAAUAUCAUUAUCCUUAUCUCUACAAAUAAAUCUAGAACUAAAUUAUCU
Homo sapiens (human) is the source of this 1373-nucleotide long non-coding RNA. Ensembl annotates it as long intergenic non-protein coding RNA 378. NCBI's taxonomy places the organism in Eukaryota, Metazoa, Chordata, Mammalia, Primates, Hominidae. The record is from Ensembl.